Temnothorax curvispinosus is the source of this 1380-nucleotide long non-coding RNA. RefSeq lists it as uncharacterized. The record is from RefSeq and is a predicted model, not a curated record. NCBI's taxonomy places the organism in Eukaryota, Metazoa, Arthropoda, Insecta, Hymenoptera, Formicidae. The transcript is spliced from 5 exons.
GUCCUGACUGGUGCCAUAUCAAGCAUGCCUGGUUGUAUAUAAUCAGGCAAGCCUGAUAAGGCAAUAAUCAGGAUCUUUUUGAGUAUCCCCUAAUACACAAAUUUUCAAAAAGGACAUGAGUGACAAUAAAAGAAAACGAAAGCAAGAGCUAACACGACUACAGGUGAAGCGGCACAGAAAACAUAAAGCUUAUUGUAGUACAUCUGAAAAUGGAAAUAAAUCUGACAGUUCAUCUGCUUCAAUGGCUUCUCCUGCUGCUGCUUCAAUCUCAAAUGAGCAAGAAUUCUUUAUGGACAUCGAACAAUUCAUAUGAUGAAAACACUGCAGUGAACAAUAAUAAUGAAAAUUUAAACUUAACGCAGGAUUCCAUGAACAAUAUAAAUGAUGAGAAUAUUCUCAGUGACAGUAUUGGGGACAAUGAUCAAGCUGAUUUCGAAAUGGAUGAACACAGUAACACAGAUGAAAUGGAUGAACAUAGUAACACAGAUGAAAUGGAUGAACACAGAUGAAAUAUAGAUUUAUUAGAACCCAGUAUAGAUAAUGAGGAUGAAUUCUAUGAAUAUAACGAUGAAUUUGAUGAGAUCACAGAGCUACGAACGUGGGCAUUGUCUGGAAAUCCUACUAUACCUCACACACGACUUGAUGAAUUAUUGCGUAUCCUGAGGACUCGUUUACUUCCAAAUUUACCAAAAUGUUCUAAAACUUUUUUAAAAACAGCUAGUACCAAUUAUGAUAUCCAAGUCAAUGAAGAUUCUAGCGAGUUUAUAUAUUUUAGUUUAAAAAAUAUACUGCAAAUUUCUAUUAAUCCAGAUUUCCACACAAAUAAUGUUGUCAAUUUGAAAGUCAAUAUAGAUGGUGUGCAAUUAUUCAAAUCAAGUUCAAGACAGUUUUGGCCAAUUUCUCGCGUCAAAAGGGAAGUUAUUGAAAUAAAAAACAUAUUGGACAAUUCACAGCUGCCAGGACAAAAUGCUGCUGGACAAUUGGAAUCAGACGCAGAAGAUGACAAAUUUAAAUUUCCCCUUACCACAUACGACGUUUUUACAGAUUUUGAUGAGAAACUCAAAACUGAUUAGGCCUAUAGGAGAAAAAUUAGAAAAAGAAUAAGGUCUCAAAUUAAUGUCAAACAGGAUACUUCAAAAAAUUUAGGUGAAAUCGUAAGGUUUUUCAUGAUUAGAUUAGUUGCUCUGAAACUUACAGCUGUUAAAAAGAUGAAGGACAAAGAACUAUUCAAGGAUACGCAUCUUUAUAAGGACUAUUUUUAAGUGCUCAUAAAGAAUCUAUUAACUCAAAACAAUUUCAACAACUCAUGGGCAAAGUUUUGAAUAAUGCAAAAGACUGGGACAAAUUUCGCUUUGUACGGCAACAAGAGAUGAUCAAAAA